Molecule: long non-coding RNA, 220 nt
Filed under: Elaeis guineensis (African oil palm)
Lineage: Eukaryota; Viridiplantae; Streptophyta; Magnoliopsida; Arecales; Arecaceae
Description: long non-coding RNA (EGUI_LNC013088)
Source: RNAcentral
GCGGGUACCGCUGCCCAUCGAAUCCUCGUCGGCCUCACUCGAGCCCUCGACAUUGCCCGCCUGACGGCCUUCUCCGUUGGGGCAAUUGAGGCUACCAGGGGCUUCAAGGCCGUGCCCUUCCACGAUGGGCUGGACGGUGCAGUGAGGGAGGCAGCGGCACUGUCAGAUGAGGCAGAGGUGCGGAUGGGGAAGAUCGGGUAGAAAGUGCCACAAAGAGACG